This 433-nucleotide ribosomal RNA is filed under the name uncultured bacterium. Its description in RNAcentral is "partial 16S ribosomal RNA". It matches the Rfam family "Bacterial small subunit ribosomal RNA", at positions 29 to 507 of the family's 1533-position model. The record is from RNAcentral.
AACGAACGCUGGCGGCAGGCUUAACACAUGCAAGUCGAACGCACCUUUCGGGGUGAGUGGCAGACGGGUGAGUAACGCGUGGGAAUCUACCCUUCUCUACGGGAUAGCUCCGGGAAACUGGAAUUAAUACCGUAUACGUCCUGAGGGAGAAAGAUUUAUCGGGGAAGGAUGAGCCCGCGUUGGAUUAGCUAGUUGGUGGGGUAAAGGCCUACCAAGGCGACGAUCCAUAGCUGGUCUAAGAGGAUGAUCAGCCACAUUGGGACUGAGACACGGCCCAAACUCCUACGGGAAGCAGCAGUGGGGAAUAUUGGACAAUGGGCGCAAGCCUGAUCCAGCCAUGCCGCGUGAGUGAUGAAGGCCCUAGGGUUGUAAAGCUCUUUCAGUGGGGACGAUAAUGACGGUACCCACAGAAGAAGCCCCAGCUAACUUCGUG